This 29-nucleotide transfer RNA is filed under the name Xiphophorus monticolus. Its description in RNAcentral is "partial tRNA-Thr". The record is from RNAcentral. Lineage: Eukaryota; Metazoa; Chordata; Actinopteri; Cyprinodontiformes; Poeciliidae.
GCACUAGUAGCUCAGCUUCCAGAGCAUCG